CCACAGUCAAGAUUAUCGUCUAACUACACAAGAAAUAGCAAGGACAAGUGAAAUCAACAAGUUGUUGGAAGAACUCUAGAUGCUGCAGCUUAAUUGUAUAUCCCUUUUGAUAGAAACUAACGAAAGUACAUUGUUAGUUCCUUGUAUACUGAUAUUAUUUUUGUAAAUUGGCCCCCCUAAAAUUCCAUUACAUAAUAACUGCUGACAUAAAUUAUAUAUAGAUUAUUUUAUCUGAUUGACUUAUAAUAUUAUUUGCAUUACCUUUCUCGGAACUAACAUUUGUAUAUCUAAACCGAAAUGCAUUUCCUUUCUUUUGUUUUCUAACUUCCGAGAGGAGAACGAUUUCACUGUUCUAGGCUCCAAUGAAUAGAACUUUUCCUUUUCUAUCUUUGGCAAAUGGAAUUAUGUUUAGUUUAUGGAAAGAGUAAUAGAAUACAGCUUUUAGCCUUUCAAUUUCAAGAACAAUGCAAAGGC
RNAcentral lists this long non-coding RNA (474 nucleotides) under Cicer arietinum (chickpea). RNAcentral describes it as "long non-coding RNA (CARI_LNC000098)". The record is from RNAcentral. Lineage: Eukaryota; Viridiplantae; Streptophyta; Magnoliopsida; Fabales; Fabaceae.